Molecule: transfer RNA, 69 nt
Filed under: Phrynosoma platyrhinos (Desert horned lizard)
Lineage: Eukaryota; Metazoa; Chordata; Lepidosauria; Squamata; Phrynosomatidae
Description: tRNA-OTHER
Source: RNAcentral
GUCAGUGUGGCAUAGUGGUUUGAGAGCUGGACUAUGACUUUGGAGACCAGGGUUCGAUUCCCAGCGACC